RNAcentral lists this ribosomal RNA (253 nucleotides) under uncultured bacterium. Its description in RNAcentral is "partial 16S ribosomal RNA". It matches the Rfam family "Bacterial small subunit ribosomal RNA", at positions 524 to 776 of the family's 1533-position model. The record is from RNAcentral.
UACAGAGGUCUCAAGCGUUGUUCGGAUUCAUUGGGCGUAAAGGGUGCGUAGGCGGCGCGGUAAGUCGGGUGUGAAAUCUCGGGGCUUAACUCCGAAACUGCAUUCGAUACUGCCGUGCUUGAGGACUGGAGAGGAGACUGGAAUUUACGGUGUAGCGGUGAAAUGCGUAGAUAUCGGGAGGAAUACCAGUGGCGAAGGCGCUGACCUGGACGAAGGUUGACGCUGAGGUGCGAAAGCGCGGGGAGCAAACAGG